CCUACGGGUGGCAGCAGUGAGGAAUAUUGGUCAAUGGGCGCGAGCCUGAACCAGCCAAGUAGCGUGAAGGAUGACGGCCCUACGGGUGGUAAACUUCUUUUAUAAAGGAAUAAAGUGAGGCACGUGUGCCUUUUUGUAUGUAUUUUAUGAAUAAGGAUCGGCUAACUCCGUGCCAGCAGCCGCGGUAAUACGGAGGAUCCGAGCGUUAUCCGGAUUUAUUGGGUUUAAAGGGAGCGUAGAUGGGUUGUUAAGUCAGUUGUGAAAGUUUGCGGGUCAACCGUAAAAUUGGAAUUGAUAAUGGCAGCUGUGAGGACAGUUGAGGUAGGCGGGAAUCGUGGGGGUGCGGUGAAAUGCUUAAAUA
RNAcentral lists this ribosomal RNA (361 nucleotides) under uncultured bacterium. RNAcentral's name for it is "partial 16S ribosomal RNA". It matches the Rfam family "Bacterial small subunit ribosomal RNA", at positions 338 to 696 of the family's 1533-position model. The record is from RNAcentral.